AGGGUAUUACGAGCCCAAGCUUAAAACCCAAAGGACUUGACGGUGCCCCACCCACCUAGAGGAGCCUGUUCUAUAAUCGAUUCUCCCCGAUAUACCUCACCACUUCUAGCCUACUCAGCCUGUAUACCUCCGUCGUAAGCUUACCAUAUGAACGUUAUACUAGUGAGCCAAAAGAUUAACCAUCAAUACGUCAGGUCAAGGUGCAGCUUACGAAGCGGGAAGCAAUGGGCUACAGUUUCUAACUUAGAAUAAACGAAAGACUACAUGAAACAUAGUCAUGAAGGCGGAUUUAGUAGUAAAAAGAAAAUAGAGAGUUCUUUUUAAUUAGGCACUGGGACGCGUACACACCGCCCGUCACCCUSUUCAAAUGCAAUUAUUAUGUUUAUAACACCAAA
Molecule: ribosomal RNA, 395 nt
Filed under: Kaloula cf. baleata AMA-2016
Lineage: Eukaryota; Metazoa; Chordata; Amphibia; Anura; Microhylidae
Description: partial 12S ribosomal RNA
Rfam family: Bacterial small subunit ribosomal RNA
Source: RNAcentral